This 253-nucleotide ribosomal RNA is filed under the name uncultured bacterium. RNAcentral describes it as "partial 16S ribosomal RNA". It matches the Rfam family "Bacterial small subunit ribosomal RNA", at positions 524 to 776 of the family's 1533-position model. The record is from RNAcentral.
UACAGAGGUCUCAAGCGUUGUUCGGAUUCAUUGGGCGUAAAGGGUGCGUAGGUGGCGCCAUAAGUCAGGUGUGAAAUCUCGGGGCUCAACCUCGAAACUGCACUUGAUACUGCGGUGCUUGAGGACUGGAGAGGAGACUGGAAUUCACGGUGUAGCAGUGAAAUGCGUAGAUAUCGUGAGGAAGACCAGUGGCGAAGGCGGGUCUCUGGACAGUUCCUGACACUGAGGCACGAAGGCCAGGGGAGCAAACGGG